GUACACGCUGUGACUAGCAUAUCAAUAAGCGGAGGAAAAGAAACUAACAAGGAUUCCCCUAGUAACGGCGAGUGAAGCGGGAAGAGCUCAAAUUUGAAAUCUUAAAGGGUUUCCCUUUACGAAUUGUAGUUUAAAGAAGUGUUUUUCUGUUGAGGUUUUGGUAAAAGUUCUUUGGAAUAGGACAUCAUAGAGGGUGAGAAUCCCGUAUUUGACCUUUACUUUCAACUUUGUGAUACACUUUCAAAGAGUCGGAUUGUUUGGGAAUGCAGUCCAAAAUGCGUGGUAAAUUUCAUCUAAAGCUAAAUAUUGGCGAGAGACCGAUAGCGAACAAGUACCGUGAGGGAAAGAUGAAAAGAACUUUGGAAAGAGAGUUAAACAGUACGUGAAAUUGUCAAAAGGGAAGCGUUUUGACACCAGUGUUGUUUUUCUGAAAAUCAAUUAAAGAACUGUUUAUGCUAAGUUGUUUAGACUUUAUCAGCUAACUGUUUUAGUUUUGAGCUUUUCUUUAAUGCACUUUUCAGUUAACAAGUCAACAUCAAUUUCUUUUGCUGUAAAAAAGCUUGAGGAAGGUGGCUUGAGAUUCGUCUUAAGUGUUUAUAGCCUCUUGCCUAUGCAGUCGGAGAGAUUGAGGUCUGCAGCGUAGAUCCUUCGGGGCUAAAUGCAUUUGUGCUAAGUUAUAGCAUUUUAUAGACAACUUGUUGACUAUGAUUUGUCUUGUAGCUUACUCGCUUAUGUUAUUUUACCUACGCUUAGGAUGUUGACAGCAGUAAUAGACUGU
This 778-nucleotide ribosomal RNA is filed under the name uncultured Neocallimastigales. RNAcentral describes it as "partial large subunit ribosomal RNA". It matches the Rfam family "Eukaryotic large subunit ribosomal RNA", at positions 22 to 639 of the family's 3401-position model. The record is from RNAcentral. Lineage: Eukaryota; Fungi; Neocallimastigomycota; Neocallimastigomycetes; Neocallimastigales.